Molecule: long non-coding RNA, 6718 nt
Organism: Triticum dicoccoides
Lineage: Eukaryota; Viridiplantae; Streptophyta; Magnoliopsida; Poales; Poaceae
Exons: 7
Source: RefSeq, a predicted model, not a curated record
UCGAUCCGUCCAGGACACAGAGCCACCCUCCUCUCGUGCGAUCUCGCUGCCGCCGCCCUCCGAUCCGCUCCUCCUCGUCUCCCGAGGAUACGCAACCGCAUCCGCCGACGCCGAUCCGGGCAGACGCAGCCGUCGUCGAUCACGAGGACACCGCUACCACCGACGCCUCGGUUACGUUGCUCGUCGCGGAUCAGGAUCCCCAGGACGCCGCCGCCGCCGCGGAUCCGCUGCCACGCACAGCUCGGGGCGGAGCCGCGACGGGCUCGGCUAUGGCCGCUGCUGCGUGCGCCCUUCGUCUCCAGGAUCGGCAAGCUCCGCCGCCAGCCACCCCCACGCACAUCGGCGUCAAGCUAUCUUCUUGUGUUGUUUUCCUCCAUAGGCUUAUGACUCGAGGCAUGAUGUGCACAAUUACAGAAGGCCAUACAGUCGGCGGCAAAGUGCUCGCUGUCGCCAAUGAUUGACUGUUGAGGAUCUCCAUUCGGGGCUACCUGCUCAAAUAAUAUGGUCAAUAGCUGAUCCUGUGAUCCAUUCUACGGAUGAAGAAGGAGAAGACGAGGGAACACAAUAAUUUCUGUGUAAUAUUAUUUGUUUAUGAUGUGGCUACUCUGGAAUACAAUUUAUGGGCGAGAGAGCAGACUUUCAAAUUUGGUGCGGUACUAUAUCUUAUCAGAUUCAGUAACCAGCAUGGAAUUAAUUUUAAUUUUGUUCUUCAUCAGAUAAGUAGAGCCACGCUUUACCCCAAUCUUCAUUUGAUGAAUCUCAACUACAAAAAUUGUGAUAGUUGCACUGUAUUUUGUUGGGUCCAACAUAAAGCUGAGAACAGAGUACCUACUUUGUCUUGGUAUAUCAAAAUAAUAAGGAAUAUGUGAGAUUAGAUAAGCCAAAUAGUUGGUACUUGCUGAGUCUACAAAAUUAUCUUAAUUGUUCCAUUUAGUAGUUCACUGAAUAUUAAACUAUGAUGUUUCUUCCAUUGGGAAGUUGUUUUAUGUAGCCUGAACAACAAACAACCUAUGAGCUUCUGAACCAAUUCUUUCUUUUUUAGUAGGACCUUAUGCUCUUUUAACUGAAAAACAGGGAGCACUAGCAGUUCUUCACAAGGUAAUCGCCUCCUAUGAAUGUUUGGUGGUGCUGCUCCAAUUUCUAUUGCAUUGCUUCUGAUGUAUGAAUGGACUAUUUUCCUAAUUUGCUAAUUAACGCAACUGGCGUAAUUCUUCAUGAGAAUAGAUAUUUUUGUAGUGCACAGUACGCGUUUUUUAGUUACCCUCCUUAUGAAUAGAUUUUUUGUAGUGUACAAUACACUUCUUUUGUCAGGAUUGCCUGUUGCUUGCUACUGCUACUGCUUGUACAAUUGUGUUGUUUUGUAUAAUUUCUUAACUGUUAAGAGAUAUUUCCACACUGAGAUUUUUCUAAGGGCAGGAAAAUGGAUUGGACAAUGCCGCUAGCUCGGAUGGAGCCCCGUCUGGAUGUCGAUUGGGGGCGACGUGAGGAGGGACAAGGUAGAGAAAGGGGGUCAGGUUAGCGCCCAGUAGAGGUGAGCGAGGGGGCCGGGGUUGCGUCGCCGCCGAGAUGCGCGAGGGGAUCGGAGCUGCGCCAAGCGGAUUCAUCAGAGCACUUUGCUCCCGCUGCCUUUGGCCUAAUGCUUAGAUGGGUUGAUGCGUAAGUUUGAAUCCUUUCAUUUUUCACUUCUCUAAUGGGUGGCUGAUGGCCUGAUGCUUUGAUGGAUUGAUGCAUGCUAGAACUGGCUGAUAUGUGCGUAUGUGUGCACAUUUUUUUCUUUUGAUUUUUGUAGAGAUUGGUUCAUGCUUCUCUGCAUAUGGAUUUCUUCUUUCUUCUGUCUGUGUUUGUCACUCUGUUGCUGAAUGAUCUGGUGAUUUUUUUUUCUUUGUGGGCUUAUCUGAUGAAAUUUACUGCUAAUUAGAUCGUGCACUGGCGCUGCCACCAGAAGAUCGAUCAUAGAUGCAUGUGUUUGCUUUCGAACAUGGUGGAUGGUGCGUAAUCUUUAGGUUUGCCAACUGUCACCUCCGGCAAUUUCAGUUCAACAUGUCUUGGUUUCUGCAUUCUGAGUUCAGAGUUCUACAUAGCGGAAUGGUUAGUAUAUGGGAGUUUGCAUCUACAAUUGCAUACUGUAGUUCCAUUUCGUCCUUCCUUAUUCAGAGAUGAACUGAACCUCUCAUUUUUCAUGUACUUUUGUGUGAUUGUAUGAAAGUGCGGUGGAACUGACUAUUCCGGGGGGAAAUCAAAUGAUACCACAUUAGUAGUAGAACGUACUACUUGCUCUUAAGAUUUCAGAAAUGACAUGUCAAGGACAGGGUAUAGAGCUCCGAAAAUUAUUCUCCUUCCGUCAUCGGUUGCUAAAUCAGUAACGCCCAGCCUCGUGUGCGAUGGAGCCCUUACUGCUGUUCACAACUGAACUCUUUAUUUUAUUUUAAUCCUUCGGAUUUGUCGGGUCAAGGAUCCUUCAGUUUUGUCGGAUCAGGAAGUACUGGGACUUCAAGGACGAUGUAGAUUGUCGAAGGCAAAGUUGCAGAGUGCAUGGGCAGCAGUACCAGUGCAAGAACCUCGCGCAUGACGGAGCUCCUAUGGCAGAGAAGCAAAACUCAACGACUAACUCUACAAGCUCUGGUCACUGUCUUAAACAUCACCAACAUAUUACUAAAUUUGGACAAGCAACCUGCCAACAGAUACAAAGAAGGGAUAUAUGUCUUUUGAUCUUCUUGAUGGCAUAUAUGAGGACCUGCAAUACUGAGCCUGGAAGUUAGUCGUUGAGGCACUGGUCAUGGUAGUGAUAUCUACUGCCAGAACAUAAACGUUUGGCCCUCCUUGUUGCCACGAAGGAUUUUGAUCUACUGGAUUUGCAGAACCAGUUAAUGGCAUGAUGUUGUGCUAGGAUUAGGAUGGAUUGGCGUCCUCUUCUCACGAAACACACUGACACAAAGUUUCUGGUUUCUGACGUACAAGGAUUAUUUACUAUGAACAAAUAUUGCAAUGUUCAUUGGUAGUACUGUUUGUUGAGGUGAUGCCUCUGCUACAGUAGGUAAUCUAGGAUGCUUUGUAUCCCUAGACCCACACCCACACACGACCGCCAUCUCCCACUUUCCUCAGUAUCACGACCUGAUGCGACGUUGGCAGCGCAAUCAGUCGGAGGAGGCCAGUGCUGACGAUGACGACUCUGCGAUGGGGAAAGGUCGCUUGUCGUCGCGGCACCAGCAAUUCCACGAUCGCAUAAUACCCGCAUGUUGAUGACCUCCAUGACUCUCCGGCCUCCUCCCUCCAGGUACCUCGCCAAACCCUAACCGUCUCAGGUUCACAGUUUAUUAUUAUACUACUAUUGUUUAAUUAGAUGGUAACAUAAAACUUGGAGUGUUUGAUAGGAGUUCUUAUUCACGGUCUGAGAUGCUAACUGGGUUCUCUCUGUCUCUCACAAGUUUGUCCUUGUGUUAUCUCUUUAUUCAGGGUACUCCCUCCGUUUCUAAAUGUAAGAUCUUUUAGAGAUUUCACUAUAGACUACAUACGUAACAAAAGGAGUAAAUCUACACUCUAAAGUAUGUCUAUAUACAUCCGUAUGUAGUCCACAGUGGAAUCUCUAAAAGGUCUUAUAUUUAGAAACGGAGGGAGUAAAAAAAUGCCUAGAAUAAAGAAAUGAUGAAUUGUAUUGUACACAUUAUUGUAGUUAAAGAUUAUGUUUAAAAUCGAUCACACUUUGGAUGCUGCCAACUUGCAGGGUCGAUGAGACAUUAAAUUGCCAUAUUGCUUUUCCCUCUUCUUCACGUGUUAGGAAUAUAUCUUUAACAAUAGAAUUUAAUAUUUGUGGUUUCACAUAAGGAAGAGACGGUAUUAUAUCAGUCACGAGUGAUGGAGUCAUGUGGUUGUUGCCGUCGUGCUAAAUGUUGGUGCAGUGUAAAAUUCCUGAGCUAGACAUUAUGGUACAAUAUUAAUUUUAGGAUUGUUGCCAAUCAUACCCGUCUGUAGCUAUAUCAUAUUGCAAAAUUCCAUGAACAUUUGGUCCACACUAUUUUUCUGUUAUAUUGUUCCUGCCCAAGGGUGGAUGAAGGUGGACGUGGGCGCCGCGGCUGCCACCAAGGAUGUAGGGGUCACGCUACAACCGGUGAGGACACGGUAGGCACGCCAACCGCACUAUAGCCUUACAAUUUUUCCUAAUUUCUCUAGGUAUGCGAGAUCAAUUUAAUAUUCACAUAUAUGCUGAAAUUUUGACUUAGAAAAACCAGCACUGAAGUUAUAUGAAGUUUCUUGCGAGAGCUAUAUCAUUCUUUUUAGUACUACAAAUUAAUUCCCAUGAGUACCAAUGGUGAGAUUUUGAGGCGUAAAUACUGGAUGUGAUUCUCAUUGCUGGCAAUCUUCAUGAACCUAUCAAGGAGAACAUUGCAAUACUUAUCCGUUGCACAGGCGUUCUCAACACUGGCUAGCAACAAGAGAGAAUGAUUGUUCAAUGCUCACUGUUGUAAGCUUGAUUCAAGAGGAGCUUCUCAAUGUUGUACAUGUAGGCUGUGAGUAACAGAAAUAAUACCUAUUUGUUCACUCUUUUCCUGUACCUAUGAUUCAUCUGCCACUAUUCAGUAGAGUUCAGUUAUGUGCUUCAAUAUUAGGAAGUCAUCAUCUUCUAAAACAUACCGUUGCCUACUCAACAUAUUUUGUUCCUUUUUGUUUCCAACAGAUUAUGUAUAAACACAUGUGUACAAUAGAAGCGGCAGAACCUGCAUUGGACCGUCCUCAUUUGCUCUGUCCAUUUUUUCCAAAGAAAUAACACUUCUGCAGUCCUAUGCAUUCAGAAAUACGAUUUAGUGUGCUAUUAAUCCUCGUAAUCGCACGCUAUAUUUUCUGUGGGAAUUUCAUCCAUUCUGAUUUUGAGGCAAAUAUAUCAGUUAAUUUUUUUAUUCUAGCAAGGUACCAUAUACAUGUUAUGAAAUUCUCCUUUGCCUACCAGGUCAACCACUUAGGCAGGAGGGAAUUCAUUUAUCAAUAAAAAUAAAUUUGUCUGAGGGAAUGUUAUCUUAUUUCUCCAGUAUAACCAAAUGAACACUACGAUGAACUUAACAUCUCUCUAUCAUUAUUUCUCUAAGAUGCAAGCGAUAUAUAAAAUUUAAAAAGCCCGUGGUAACGCACGGGCAGUCUACUAGUUUCGUUCAGUUCAUGAGCAGUGGACAACCAGCUCAAGAGCAAGGCCUUUUUCAAGGUACCAACCAUAAUGCCACAUCUCUUUUUUGUGCCACGCAUUCAUCACUACAUUGUACAAAUUCCAAGGGAAUAAUGCUAAAAUAACAUGUUGUUGCUACAUUUUAAUGUAACGGUAUUGAUGCAGAUGACUUGUGUGCUUAAUUAUGAAGUUAAUUACUCGGCAGCACAUUUAUUUUCCAAGUCGCCACAGGGAAUUAUUCUUUUGGGAUCAUAUUUAUUCUCUGCAAAAGGUAGUCUCAACUUGCUUAAUGGCCACAUUUGACGGUUGCUUAAACCUUCUGGACAAGACGCAGACAUACAACUGUGUGACAACUUAAUGCCUUUUGAGGAAUUUUGAUUGCUUUUCCUAACAAGAAAGCAUAACAAUAUCUGCGAAUGUUAAUUACUUAGUUUACCAAAGGUAAAUGUCUGCGACAUGACAAGUAUGUGGAUUGAUUUUAAGUGAACCGACUAACUGGAUGAUUUGGUUCUUUGUGCUAAGUCUUUGAAAAAGAACGUACUUAUAUGUUCUACUGUAUUAUAUCAUAUGGCUAAUGCCAUAUUUGUUACAUACUAGCUAAAGAUGAAGAAAUAUUUACGCAAAGAACAUUCAUUUUCACAUUGCUUGGCAUGCGUCUAGGUCAUUCUAUUUAUUACCAUUGCUGAAAGCUGUACUUCUGCAUGCCGAUAGUUUCAUUCGAAUAGCUCUCCUUAGAUUUUUUCAUAGUUCAUUCCUUCUAGUUGUUUGAUAGCUUUGUGAUUAUUUCAAGAAAAUUGAUCUGUCUUGCAGACUGAAAGCAAUCUCAUCCAGUAGUUUGAUAUUAUGGUCAUUGCUCCAAACAAAUUGAUCAGUGUAGCAAACCGAAAACAAUUGGAUGCUGAUGCAAUCAUGGCCUGAGAUUAUUAACGAGUAAGGACAUGCAUAGAGUUGCUUCCUACUGGUACAUAACUAUUUUCUUUCUACAGGUACUAUGUUGAAUCUUCAUAGAUCUCAUCUUCAUGAGACUAGCGAAGGGUAUACGUUAGGAUGGAGAGAUGAGAAAUUAACCAGAUAGUACAUGGCUGAAUAAUUUUGAACUAGCUACUAUUUCUACAUGGAGUGCCAUGUUCAAAUAGACGAAGUGAAGUUGUAGUGGGUUCUGAGCCAUUCUUAUAAAGAUAGGGGUGUGUAGUAGCUAGCGGAGCUACGUAGCAAAAGCUGGGCGGGCCGGUAUGAAGAAAGACCACUAUUUUUUGUCCUCGUGACUCAAUUUACUUUAAUCCUACACUGCAUUUGCUCUUGAAUGGGCGGGCCAUGGCCCAUUUUCAUCACACGUAGCUCCGCCAGUGGGGGUGUGCCAUAUUAUUUUUCUCUCUUUGCAACGCACUACUCUUUCAUCGGAUGAAAUGAGAGUGUGGAGCUGAAAUAGGUCAGGAUGAACAUUGUUAGGAUACGUCCAAAUUUCAUGGCCAAAAAAGAAAUAUUCGGUGUAACCUUAUUUCUGACUUUGCAAAAAAUUAGAUUAAAAAGUGUUGCAUAAUGGCACGUGGAGCAGGUUAUAUUUAA